Passer domesticus (house sparrow) is the source of this 844-nucleotide long non-coding RNA. RefSeq lists it as uncharacterized. Lineage: Eukaryota; Metazoa; Chordata; Aves; Passeriformes; Passeridae. The transcript is spliced from 3 exons. The record is from RefSeq and is a predicted model, not a curated record.
GGCAGGUUCAGAAGCCACUGUACAGCACACUCACCACCAACCAAAGGAGAUAGCCAUAAUCAGCUUGUGCCCUGGUGAGUCCUGGUACUUGGCAAAGAAGGAGAAAUUACACUGCUGCCCCAGUUGAGUGACACUGCAGAGCCACAAGCACAAGGGAAGUAGAGAGCCUGACAUCUAAAGAGUUCUUCUGAGUCCAAGUUUUGGGAAGCAGAAAUAACUUCAGCAUGAUCCCCAUUGCUUUCUGGUCCAUGGAAAAUGUACAGUGAAAGACUAUUACUUUUAUGAUCAUGUCAUAGGUAAGAAUUGCAAAUGCCUACCAAACAGUGAAGUAAAUAUUAAGAGAGAGAGAGAUACAACCCUUAUCUACCUAUACUGCUUCAUGCCUGGAACAUGACCAUAAACCCCUGUUACUAUGAAACUCCUGUGGCUAAUUAUGAGUAACACCAUAAUACAAAACUGUGACUUCUUUUACUAUUACUUUAUCUAUCUAAUUACAAACAGAAAAGAAAGAUAACUUAUGUUAUAUAAAAUUGCAGAAAAUUGGGCUGUUCUCAUUCUCCCCAAAUUCCAAGCAGUUAUCUUUUCAUAAUCAACUUUUUCACAGAAACAAUGUGAAGGGAAAGGCUGUUGCCAUAUCCAAUAGCACAUGGCACCAAGCUUCACUCACUGUUGGUGAGGCAUGCUGAUGGCAAGCUUUCAGUUGACCCCGAGUUUUCACUGUUUGUGCUGGCCAAGCUCAACUUUCUUGCUUUCCCUUGUGACUGAUCAGAUGCAUUUGGAGAUCCAGGACUCUCCUGAGAGAACGGUAUGUUCAAAGAGCUACUCUCAAGGAACAGACCACUGU